GGGCAAUGCUCUCUUACAUCACACAAGAGAGUCCUUCACUGACAUAUAUGGCAGAAAGCUCAGCUCCAUCUCAACAGUCCUGUCACAAGCCGGCCGCCUCAUCAGCCCUGAAACUAUUCGGUUUCCCAUUAACUGAGCACCGUGAAAUACUAGCCAAAACUGAGAAUUGUGCUGAAAGCAGGAAAUUCGAGUGCCAUUUUUGCCGGCGAGCCUUUGCCAAUUCACAAGCGCUAGGAGGCCAUCAAAAUGCGCACAAGAGAGAGCGGCAAAGAGCCAGGCGUGUCCAAUACUAUUGUGAUCGGCGCUUGUUUACAGCUGCUCCAGUUCUGAGCACACAUGCUGUGAAAGCAUCAUCAUCUUCCAUUUCUACAGGAGGAUUUACUAGCGUCGGUGUUGCUGCUAAAUUUAGGCCACAAGCAGCUGCAAGUCAUUGUCCGUCAUCGACGACAAGGCCCCUGCUGCUUCCAUCACCUCCUUCUAAGUUAACCUCUCUAAUUUAUGUUAGGCAGCCUUUGCACGUGGGUACUGCUAUGCCAUCGUUUGUUGAAUUUCCUGGUAAAUCGUUGUCUGAUGAGGAUGUAGGGAUUGAUCUUUGUCUCAAACUAACUCCUUCCGUUUAGUCAUAUAUAGUUGAAACCAGUUAACAGUAUGCAAUUUUUUCCUUUUUUUUCUUUGAAUUAUUUUCUUUUGGGAGACACCCUUUUAAGUUCUAAUGCUUUUCAGUGAGUUUGAUCGUUAUGAAAUUAUUCAGCUCAAAAUUCCCCAAUCGUUAUGAAACAGUUAAC
This 785-nucleotide unclassified non-coding RNA is filed under the name Hevea brasiliensis (rubber tree). Lineage: Eukaryota; Viridiplantae; Streptophyta; Magnoliopsida; Malpighiales; Euphorbiaceae. The record is from RNAcentral.